CUCUUUCAGAAAUUCCUCCAGCUGUCCUGAGAACAACAUAGUAAUUUCCUCCAAAGUUCGGCAGCCUCUUUCAGUCUUAACAAGAAAUGUAAUUUCCCCUUUAAAAGGAGAUCAAGUGCAGGCUGCUGAGAAGAGGGUGUGCCCUAGGUGUCAUUCACUUGCCCAGAAUGCGAAGUUGGCCCUUAAAGAAUCCUGAUCUGAGACCCGACCUGAAAGGAGAGGAUAAGACCAGGGAGCCAGGCGUCUUGGGAACACAAGUCUGGCCACCCCUGAGAAGCCAUCUGUGCUCCAAUUUCCGUCUAAGACUUGGCCGCGGUGAGGGGAGCAAAAGAGCCUGAAAUUGGAAGGCUGUCCAAGGAAUAUACAGAGGGAAGCUGUUUGGGGAACUUGAGCUAUUUAGAAGAUGGCAACCAAGCCAACAGAGCCCGUCACGAUCCUCAGCCUUCGGAAAUUGAGCCUGGGGACCGCAGAGCCACAGGUUAAAGGUGAGAUU
Molecule: long non-coding RNA, 493 nt
Filed under: Pan troglodytes (chimpanzee)
Lineage: Eukaryota; Metazoa; Chordata; Mammalia; Primates; Hominidae
Description: long non-coding RNA NONPTRT016407
Source: RNAcentral